UACGAAGGGGGCUAGCGUUGCUCGGAAUUACUGGGCGUAAAGCGCACGUAGGCGGAUUGUUAAGUCGGGGGUGAAAUCCUGGAGCUCAACUCCAGAACUGCCUUCGAUACUGGCGAUCUCGAGUUCGGGAGAGGUGAGUGGAACUGCGAGUGUAGAGGUGAAAUCGUAGAUAUUCGCAAGAACACCAGUGGCGAAGGCGGCUCACUGGCCCGAUACUGACGCUGAGGUGCGAAAGCGUGGGGAGCAAACAGGG
Molecule: ribosomal RNA, 253 nt
Filed under: uncultured bacterium
Lineage: Bacteria
Description: partial 16S ribosomal RNA
Rfam family: Bacterial small subunit ribosomal RNA
Source: RNAcentral